UGAAGAUGCCAGGCGUGCAGCGGAGCCCUCCUUAGGUGGCUUACCUCAGACUAUCAGUGGUGACAGUGGGGGAAUGUCAGCAGUUUCAGAUGGGAGUAGCAGCAGCCUAGCAGCCUCUGCUUCUCUUUUCCCGUUGAAGGUGCUACCGCUGACGACACCCCUGGUGGAUGGCGAGGAUGAGAGUGCUUCUCUCCUACCAGAGGUGCAAGGAGUGAUCCUAGAACCACAGAUACAGCCAAGACCACGGAGAGCUUUUGACGUCAGGGGUCCACUUUCUCCACUGAACCCUUGGAGACAGAAUAUCCAGCUUCUGGAGAGAGUGGGAAAGGAUAAUAAACAAAUUUCUUUCAACUGGUAAAACAUCAUACUUCUUCAGCAAAAGGAAUUCUUCUAGCAGAGCCUUCAUGGAUGAUAUCUGUCACACAUGCCAGCACCUGCAGUUUGGAAGGCAGUGGUGAAUGGAUCCAUGCAAUAUGUCUAGAAGACACAAGGAUGAGCCAGCCACCUGAUCUUGUCAUUUAUAAACUUUUAAGAAUUACUCUGGUUUACUUUUGGUCUGAAAAUGGAAAGGCCCAAAUAAUGAAAUAAUCUUUUCAGAUUGGAAUUUUACAUGGCCAUGAAAAUAUUUCUUUCUAUUCAGAAGACUGAAAUAGAGGAAGCUUGAGAGACUCCUUUCUUUUAAAAGCGGCUCUCUGUAUCUGUUUCAUUUAAAACAUUUGUGGGAUUGAAAAUCACCUUAAUGAAGUAGGCAAACAUUUUUUUAAGUAGUAGAGGAAGUCCAGAAAACUUAAUGAAAUGGUUUUUUUUGUUGCCUGACACUGAAAGUAACUAGUAAAUAAAGGGUGAACUUCUUAAUUAUUCGAAAACUGCUUUUAAUAUUAGGAUAUACUCUUUUAGCUCAUC
Molecule: small RNA, 903 nt
Filed under: Pan troglodytes (chimpanzee)
Lineage: Eukaryota; Metazoa; Chordata; Mammalia; Primates; Hominidae
Description: processed transcript
Source: RNAcentral